AUGAAGCGUGCAACUGCGCUCGGGUUGAGUAUAGGACUUUCCAACUUAUCCAACCUACAGCCGCCGCGAGAUCCAGUCGCCUCCGCUCGUGCUUCGUCUCCGACCACGGCGACUUCGUCCUCCGUCUCCCUCCUCUUCGGAUUUGGAAAGAUGCCGACAUCUAUGAGAUGCGGUGAUGAUCUCACAAGGAGUACAAAUGAGGAGCUAAUAACCAGCAAGGCUGACUCGAAGCCGAGCUCAAAUGAGAACCUAAGAACUUGCAAUAGUGUUGGAAAGUUGAUUGAGUCAUUGCCUCCAGGUUCAGGUGCUACUGAUACUGCCGGACUUGGCAGCUCUAGUGGUUCUGCUCGAGAUGUCUCCGACUGUUCCGGUGGAGCUCCAUCCAAAACGACCCGUGGUGUCGUCUGGAUUUACUUGUUUGAUGGAGACACCAUUGUGUUUUUAUGCUCCGGCCUUCCUAUAGAACACAAUCCGUCUUGCACAAAAGUGUUGACCUCAACAAAUUUGGCUGCAGCUAUGAGGGACAAAACAAAAUCCAGCUCUGCCAUGAAGAUUCAAGUGCGCGAUGCAUUUAGUAAUGUUGCCCCUGGGUGCUUGGAGGAAUGUGAGUUAGAUGACGGGACUGUUAGGGCUGCUGUUGUCAAAGUGACAGGGUUCCUUGAUGUUUGUGAAGUACAUCUCCACCAUGGGUUGGAAAUUCCGCCCCUCAUUGUCGUAGUAGCCAUACACUUUAAUGACUCUGGUGGAGCGACGGCUGUAAAAGAGAUCCUGAGUAAAAAAGUUUCAACGCCUUCCGAGACUGUGCUUUGCAACGCUGGUGAUGGCAAGCCACUCUUCGACGGUGAUGGGAACUUUGUUGGCAUGGCUAUUUUUUCCGAUGGCAGGCAUGUUUAUGUGCAAGGAAGUGUAAUUUUUGAAAAUUUGGUGGAAUUUGCGAGAAGGAUUAGGGUACGCGUGCGACAGCAGGAACGAUAUAGACGAUCUAUGAGCGAAAAAGGCAAGUGCCGGUGCCGACAUGAUGUCUAUGAUGAUCCAGUAAAGAGAAAGAGAACCUUCUUGUGA
RNAcentral lists this ribosomal RNA (1062 nucleotides) under Triticum aestivum (bread wheat). Its description in RNAcentral is "partial small subunit ribosomal RNA". The record is from RNAcentral. Lineage: Eukaryota; Viridiplantae; Streptophyta; Magnoliopsida; Poales; Poaceae.